AGAUUUCAUUUUUAAGUAAUCUCGAUGUGGGGCUCAAACUCACAACCCCGAGAUCAAGAGUUGCAUGCUCCAACUGACUGAGCCAGCCAGCGCCCGACCCUCCAGACUUUGAAGACAAGGAGACCAACUCCACAUGAGUUCAGUGACUUCAUUCCCACCAAGGGAGGCCCAUGUCCCAAUUCUUCACCCUUGCACCUCCUGAACACUUGGCACUUUAAUAUCUUUACAGACAUUAGUGCUUAGGUCUCCUGGACCUCUGGCCAGGAUUGCUGAACCCCAGGGGGAAAGUCUGGAUGAUUCUCUCUGCCUCCAGAACUCAAUUCAACUGCAACGCUUUGAUACCAUUUUGAAAUUUUAGAAGAAGUACUUCCACAUACACUACACAAGUCAAGAGCACUGUGAUUCAUGUUGGAGUCACCUAUUUAUUCAGGCUUUCUGGGAAAUCAAUAAUCUAUGAACCAAAAGGAAAACGAGAAAAGCACCAUCACUUUAGGGAAAAAAAACCCUAUCCAACAGCAGUAAUGGAAUCAAACAUGCCAUGAACUGAUUUAAGGUUUUAUUCUGGCCUCCUUUGGAAAAAACAACCCCGAACAAAAUUACCUAAGCACUAUUUAAAAAAAAAUUCUUUAACAUAUAUUUAUUUUUGAGAGACAGAGAGAGUCAGCAGGGGAGGGACAGAUAGAGACGGAGACACAGAAUGUGAAGCAGGCUCCAGCCUCUGAGCUGUCAGCACAGAGCCCGAUGCAGGGCUCAAACAUGACCUGAGCCAAAGUCGGGUGCUUAACCGACUGAGCCACCCAGGCACCCUUCCUAAGCACUAUUUUAGGUGCAGAAAUGUGAUUUAUAGCUGUCUCUUCCUUGGUGUAAAAAUUACAGGUUUAUUUUCACUUUUAAGAAUAUUUAAAUUUGCAUAAGGAAAUAUAUUUAAAUAAAGUAUCUAGACAUAUUUGUCUUUCCUUACUGGCCUGGACUUCAAUACUAAAGAAAUGCUGGUCUAACUUUAGAGAACAAAACAUCAUGGAGGUUCUACUCUGGAAUUCGGGAAGAAGAAAAAGGUGUAAAUUAAGGGAGAGAUUACAAACCCAAAGAGUAGUAAUGAACAAAGGAAAGGUACCAAGUUUGUUUCUUAGCUGUCAUAUGAGGACCUGCUUGAGCACUAACAGCUAGGGUAUAGGAGCCAGAGAAACAGGUGAGUGCAAGGAAUGAUUUGAAAUGUGGUGUCCUUUACAUCUAGGGACACUAAUGCCUUUUUCAAAAUUCACAGCACAAAUUGUUAGAAUUCACAGUAAGAAAUAACGUUUUUCUUCACUUUAUAACAUUAAAAAAAUGACAGCCUGGGAAUGCCAUUGCUAGUAAGUAGAAAAGAAUGUACUGCAAUCAAACUUGAUUAAAAAUAGGAUGGGGGGGGGUGUGCCUUGGGUGGCUCAGUUCGUUGAGUGUGGGACUCCUGGUUUUGGAUCAUGACCUGAUCUCAUGCUGGUGAGAUCUUUGCCCCUAUUUCCACCUCCUGCUCUCUUUCUCAAAAAAAAAAAAAAAAGAUAAUUUUGACUUAAAAAGAGCCCCUAAUAAA
Long non-coding RNA from Felis catus (domestic cat), 1570 nucleotides. RefSeq lists it as uncharacterized. Lineage: Eukaryota; Metazoa; Chordata; Mammalia; Carnivora; Felidae. The transcript has 3 exons. The record is from RefSeq and is a predicted model, not a curated record.